AUUGAACGCUGGCGGCAGGCCUAACACAUGCAAGUCGAACGAGUGGCGGACGGGUGAGUAAUGUCUGGGAAACUGCCCGAUGGAGGGGGAUCACUACUGGAAACGGUCGCUAAUACCGCAAACCAUCGGAUUUGCCCAGAUGGGAUUAGCGAGUGGGUGGGGUAACGGCUCACCUAGGCGACGAUCCCUAGCUGGUCUGAGAGGAUGACCAGCCACACGGGAACUGAGACACGGUCCAGACUCCUAGGGGAGGCAGAAGUGGGGAAUAUUGACAAAUGGCCGCAAGCCUGAUGCAGCCAGGCCGCGUGUAUGAAGAAGGCCUUCGGGUUGUAAAGUACUUUCAGCGGGGAGGCGUUACCCGCAGAAGAAGCAACGGCUAACUCCGUGCCAGCAGCCGCGGUAAUUC
RNAcentral lists this ribosomal RNA (406 nucleotides) under uncultured bacterium. RNAcentral's name for it is "partial 16S ribosomal RNA". It matches the Rfam family "Bacterial small subunit ribosomal RNA", at positions 30 to 526 of the family's 1533-position model. The record is from RNAcentral.